CUGCACCAUCGCCUUCGCCAUCAUCAUCACCAUCACCCCCAUAGGAGGGAGAUGCCUGAAAUAGCGGUGAUUGACAGCUAUGCAGACGCAGUUACUAUAACAACUACCUCCUGGCUCUACCUCUCUCUCUCUCUCUCCUGCCUCCACCACCUUCCCACCUCUUUCUUUUUCAUUUUCUUCCAGCAGUUCACCCCCACCCCGAACGUGUGUGGGAGUGGAGGGAAUGAACGCGGUGAUGAAGACUGCAAAUUUCCUGAGAUGUUUGUGUUGGUCAGGUCAGGUGAAGAUGCUCCCAAUUGUGUAACUGCACACGCUUGAUGACGAGGAGCACACCUUGGCAGGCAGCAAAAGUGUGUUAGUGCCGCGAAGUUGACGGACGUCAUUGCUGCCACCUGCUCUGCUGGCAUCACAGGAGCUGUGGAGGAGGAAAAAGAUGGCAGGUGGGCGGCAGAGGAAGGAAGCCAAGUGGGGAGCACGCAGAUGGGACUGCACCACCACCAGGAUCCUCUCAGGCAGGAACAAACAGACCGGGGAUGAAGAUGCUUCCCAAUUGUGUGGGCUGCCCGAGGGAGAGGUGCGUUUGAUUCGUGCGCCUGUGAAGAGCCAUCGAGCUCGCAAUCGGCGAGGUGCGGAAGGGCAUGAUGGAGUGAUGGCGCUCAAGAAGAAGAAGGAAAGAAUGAGUGACGGGCAUUGACGUUGCCUGGAAGUCGCCAUCCUUCCUAACCCCACAAGCCCUGCCGGCCUUGAUGUUGCUGCCAGUAAGCGGGCAACCCUGCAUUUGGACGGGCGCUGGAAGUGACGCUCAUGCAGGAAGUCGAGCGCCAGUCUUUGCGUCUCUUCUGUGCACGCAUGCCUGCCUUACUGACCACAACAGGGAUCAGAGUGGUCAAGCGAACAUGGAUCCCGACCAAAUGUCAACCAGCAGUUUUCGGUGAGAAAACUGUGGUAAAAAGUCGCCACUUACCGGAGAUCAGCUGAGCUUGUGCCGUCCAUACAGCUGCCGUCGACUUCCAUUAGACACUGGCCUCAACACACCCGUGGACACACCCCUCCGACUAUCAGGUCCUAGAUGUCUUUGACAACAAGUACUCUCGCUUCUGGACCGCCAUUCAGCUUGUAGAUUUGACAGUUGGCGCUCCCGAGUUCCCUCAAUUGCUCCUUGCUUCCUCAAGUCACUCGAUUUCAGAAGUGAGUUUUGUGUGGUGGUCAUUCAUGUACACGUGUGUACCAUUCAGCUUCUCUCCCUGUUUCAGCAGUGCCAUUUUAGAUUUUCUGUUAACAAGUUUCACGUGGUGGUGUUUCUUCCAUUCAGUGGGAUGCAUGCUUCCAUGGUGUCAACGUCGACUUGAAUUUCCUUUGAUUGCAGAAAGUUGACCACUUGCUGUUCUGUUGAGGCAA
Nerophis ophidion (straightnose pipefish) is the source of this 1398-nucleotide long non-coding RNA. RefSeq lists it as uncharacterized. The transcript is spliced from 8 exons. NCBI's taxonomy places the organism in Eukaryota, Metazoa, Chordata, Actinopteri, Syngnathiformes, Syngnathidae. The record is from RefSeq and is a predicted model, not a curated record.